This 393-nucleotide long non-coding RNA is filed under the name Mytilus galloprovincialis (Mediterranean mussel). The record is from RNAcentral. Lineage: Eukaryota; Metazoa; Mollusca; Bivalvia; Mytilida; Mytilidae.
CAUAUAAUCAAAUGGAGACUCAUCUGAUCAUCAUAAUAUAUUGUACUAAUUUCAGUCUGGUUUUCGUUGCUCUUAUUCAAUUGAUUGUUGUCUUCUCCAUCUAUUUGAUAACAUUAGAUUACCAACGCCAAAAGGUUUAUUUACAGUAAUGGUAAUGACAGACUUUGAAAAGCAUUUGACACAAUUGACCAUCAAAUAUUAUACCAAACAUUCAGUUCUUUGCGUGAAAGAUGCAAUAUGGUUUACGUUCUAUCUGAUUGGACGGAAUCAACUAGUUCGUGCAUGUAAAUGGGUUUAAAUCUGAACUUUUGAAUCUGACUCUUGGCUUUUUCUAUCUUACGUCAACGUUACUUAUCUUAUGUCCUCAAUGCUCUUCAAAUUUGUACUUGUUUG